Pimephales promelas (fathead minnow) is the source of this 657-nucleotide non-coding RNA. The record is from RefSeq and is a predicted model, not a curated record. NCBI's taxonomy places the organism in Eukaryota, Metazoa, Chordata, Actinopteri, Cypriniformes, Leuciscidae.
AUUAUUUGAAAAAAAUAAAUAAAUAAAUUAAAUGCAUGGCAGGAUUAUACCGGACCAUCACAAACUGCAAAAGAAAGACAAAACAAGAAAGAAGAGAAAAAUGUCAAGCAGAAAGGACAUGAGACAACCUGAUCAAGCAAAAACUAAAAUAACACAUGUGAGACGGCAAAGCAUUGACAGUGGCAAACCCAAUUUUUCUAAUGAUGAGGACAGUUUUGAGAGCACAGCAGAUCAUCUCAUCAAACUAGCAAAAUAUAGUGUGCACGAAGAUGUGGAAAAAAAUAGGCAUAAAUCUAGCUUACCAAUUUUUCAGGCUAAUUGUUGUAAUUAAGGAUCAGACCAGUUUGCCCAAUAGUGGCAAGACAUAUAAGAACAUCUGACAAAUUGGUUUGUCCUUCAAGAACCAGGAAAAGAAAAUCGGAAUCACCUUUACCAUAAUUGAGAUGGAGUAUGUCUUGGGACAAAUAAUAAGACGCCGGAGGGAGAGGUUAUACAGGCCCAGACAGACCUAUCUCUCCCUCGGUGAGGAGGAAUGCAUACACAAGUUAAGCCUGACCCGCCAGGCUGUGACAGACAUCUGCCAUCUCCUGGCAGAUGAGCUGGGGACUGAUGCACCCUGUCCCUAUGCCUUCCCCGUUGCAGUAAAGGUUACAGCGG